Molecule: ribosomal RNA, 292 nt
Filed under: uncultured bacterium
Lineage: Bacteria
Description: partial 16S ribosomal RNA
Source: RNAcentral
GGACUACCGGGGUAUCUAAUCCUGUUUGAUCCCCGCACUUUCGUUUCUCAGCGUCAAUAUUGGUCCAGAGAGCCGCCUUCGCCACCGGUAUUCCUGCUGAUAUCUACGUAUUUCACCACUACACCAGCAAUUCUACUCUCCUCUACCAUAUUCAAGCUCUGCAGUUUCGAAUGCACUUCCAUGGUUGAGCCAUGGGAUUUCACACCCGACUUAUAGAGCCGCCUACAAACGCUUUACGCCCAGUGAUUCCGAACAACGCUAGGAUCCCUCGUCUUACCGCGGCUGCUGGCAC